AACGACUCUCGGCAACGGAUAUCUAGGCUCUCGCAUCGAUGAACAACGUAGCGAAAUGCGAUACCAGGUGUGAAUUGCAGAAUCCCGUGAACCAUCGAGUUUUUGAACGCAAGUUGCGCCCGAAGCCUCUGGCUUAGGGCANGUCUGCCUGGGCGUCACGC
RNAcentral lists this ribosomal RNA (161 nucleotides) under Silene virginica. RNAcentral's name for it is "5.8S ribosomal RNA". It matches the Rfam family "5.8S ribosomal RNA". From Rfam's summary of the family: 5.8S ribosomal RNA (5.8S rRNA) is a component of the large subunit of the eukaryotic ribosome. It is transcribed by RNA polymerase I as part of the 45S precursor that also contains 18S and 28S rRNA. Lineage: Eukaryota; Viridiplantae; Streptophyta; Magnoliopsida; Caryophyllales; Caryophyllaceae. The record is from RNAcentral.